AGUGAACGGGGAAGAGCCCAGCGCUGAAUCCUAUAGCCACUGGCUAUUAGGAGCUGUAGCGUAUAGGUGUAACUGUUCGGUUUUCUUUACUUACCCAAAGUUCCCUUGAGUGGGGCUAUUGUCCAUAGAGGGUGCUAGGCCUGUACGGGUAGUGAAGUUACUGAUAUUGGUUACUCCUUGGAGUCGAGUUGCCUGGGAACGCAGCUCAAAGUAGGUGGUAAACCUCAUCUAAGGCUAAAUAUGACUACGAGACCGAUAGCGAACAAGUACCGUGAGGGAAAGUUGCAAAGAACUUUGAAGAGAGAGUUCAAGAGGGCGUGAAACCGCUGAGAAGGAAGCGGAUAGAGUUGACGAAACACAGUGGCAUUCAUCCAAUCAGUGCUGUUGAAUGCCGUAUAGUUGUACUAUCAUUGUGAUAGGCAAUUGUAUGGUUGUUUGAUGGCUGCUUGGUUGGUGCUUUUGCCAUUGGUAUGCGCCAAGAGGUUCGCUGUGAUGCGUUGAUACUAAUUAAAGAGGACUGCGCUCGAAUGAGUGUAGAAACCUUUAGUGGUUGAGGCGUAUUCAUGGUGAAUUGCUGUUAUCGCAGUUAUAUCGCUUGCUAGUUAGCGCAAUUGAUCAUUAUGCAGCUACUUUGAUUGUUGAGCAGUCGCAUGCGACUUGCUUACAGUUGAUUGUAACUCAUUGAUGAUGGCAAUUAUUGCGUUGGCGAUAUAUCUUGGUGUAAAAGUUGACCACCUAUCCGACCCGUCUUGAAACACGGACCAAGGAGUUUAGCAUAUACGCAAGUCAUUGGGUGGUAAACCUAAAGGCGUAAUGAAAGUAAAGGUUACUUUAAUGUAACUGAUAUGGGAUCCGCAUAGGAUAGCGUUAAAAACUAACUAUGUGGCGCACCAUAGCCCCGUCCCCAUUGCUUGCAAUAGGGCGGAGGUAGAGCGUAUACGCUGAGACCCGAAAGAUGGUGAACUAUGCCUGAGCAGGAUGAAGCCAGAGGAAACUCUGGUGGAAGUCCGAAGCGGUUCUGACGUGCAAAUCGAU
This 1035-nucleotide ribosomal RNA is filed under the name Thelandros sp. 1 AP-2018. RNAcentral describes it as "eukaryotic LSU rRNA". It matches the Rfam family "Eukaryotic large subunit ribosomal RNA", at positions 92 to 902 of the family's 3401-position model. The record is from RNAcentral. Lineage: Eukaryota; Metazoa; Nematoda; Chromadorea; Rhabditida; Pharyngodonidae.